Long non-coding RNA from Eurytemora carolleeae, 662 nucleotides. RefSeq lists it as uncharacterized. The transcript is spliced from 4 exons. NCBI's taxonomy places the organism in Eukaryota, Metazoa, Arthropoda, Copepoda, Calanoida, Temoridae. The record is from RefSeq and is a predicted model, not a curated record.
CAACAACAACAACAACAACAACAACAACAACUACAACACUCUCUGGUAUUCCUGUUUCAACAAAAUCUCCAGCUGUCUCCACACAACAGCCAGCAACUCCUUCCACCACAACCCAAACUAUCGGUGUAGGCCCAGGAAAGUGUUCUGAAGAUGGAAUAUUUCCGGAUCCUGAGAGUUGCAAGGGAUUUAUUCAGUGUGCACAGGGUAAUAUAUUCAAAAAGUCCUGCAAUGCUGGUUUGUACUUUGAUUUAGCAAUCUACAAUUGCAAUUUUGCAGCAGCUACGGAUUGUGGAAUCCGUCCUACUUAACCCUGACAAUGCCGGGGGGGGGGCUUCUUGAAGUCCCCCCCCCAUUUGACCUACUCUCAUUGAAACUUUUGUCAUGUGUGUCAUAAGUUUCGAAAUUUGGUAAUAAGUUAUAUUCACAAACUCUAAUUUUUAAAUCCCUAUAUCUUUGCAACCCAAUGUAGUAGACAUUUAAUAUAUUAAGCUAUUAAUUUAAAAUAUCAAAGUUUUACGCCAUCAGAUUGCUAAGAUAAAAGAAUUUCAGUUCCUUUAAUAAAUAAUUUAUAUUCUGAAAUUUAUUUUUUGCAAUUUUUGUUAACCUCUUCUAAAGCUUAACUAUUCAAAAAUUAUGUAUACUUUAAACAAACUUUAUAGAAC